This is a long non-coding RNA of Homo sapiens (human), 221 nucleotides long. RefSeq lists it as uncharacterized. The transcript has 3 exons. NCBI's taxonomy places the organism in Eukaryota, Metazoa, Chordata, Mammalia, Primates, Hominidae. The record is from RefSeq and is a predicted model, not a curated record.
AUUGGGAGAAUAUCUGGUUUUCCAAAAUGAAUACAAGGGACUCUAGAAAAAUAAUGAAAAACAUUCAACAAUAACAGUCAGCUGAUGGUAACUGAAAAUAUAUUAUACACAGGAUGUGAAAUCUUCAUGUAUGGACGAUCAGCUUUUUGUAUACACAGAUUUAGCAGGUCUUUUCACUACUGUAUUCUGAUUGCAGAAGGAAACCAUUCAGUCUUUCACCA